This 498-nucleotide ribosomal RNA is filed under the name uncultured bacterium. RNAcentral describes it as "bacterial SSU rRNA". It matches the Rfam family "Bacterial small subunit ribosomal RNA", at positions 29 to 518 of the family's 1533-position model. The record is from RNAcentral.
AUGAACGCUAGCGACAGGCUAACACAUGCAAGUCGAGGGGUAACAGGGUAGCAAUACCGCUGACGACCGGCGCACGGGUGAGUAACGCGUAUGCAACCUGCCUAUAACUGGGGAAUAGCUCCCUGAAAGGGGAAUUAACACCGCAUAACACUAUUGAUUCGCAUGGAUUGGUAGUUAAAUGUAGCGAUACAGGUUAUAGAUGGGCAUGCGUGACAUUAGCUAGUUGGUGAGGUAACGGCUCACCAAGGCUACGAUGUCUAGGGGUUCUGAGAGGAAGGUCCCCCCACACUGGUACUGAGACACGGACCAGACUCCUACGGGAGGCAGCAGUGAGGAAUAUUGGUCAAUGGGCGCAAGCCUGAACCAGCCAUGUCGCGUGCAGGAAGAACCUGCCCUAUGGGUUGUAAACUGCUUUUAUAGUAGAAGAAACACAUCUACGUGUAGAUGUCUGCCAGUAUACUAUGAAUAAGCAUCGGCUAACUCCGUGCCAGCCGCCGC